CGUGGCGGUCGGGUGGCCGCUCCCGCCGCGGUGGUCACACGGCGGCGGGGGAGGAAAGUCCGGGCUCCACGAAGACACGGUGCCGGGUAACGCCCGGCGGGGGCGACCCUAGGGAAAGUGCCACAGAAAGCAGACCGCCCGCCGGAGUAUCCGACCUUCGGGUCGCGUACGCGCGGGCAAGGGUGAAAGGGUGCGGUAAGAGCGCACCGCGCCGGUGGCGACAUCGGCGGCACGGCAAACCCCACCGGGAGCAAGACCGUGUAGGGACGACGGCACCUUCGUGGUGCACCUGGGUCUUCGCAGGGGGCGUCCGGGUAGGUCGCGCGAGGCGGUCGGUGACGGCCGUCCCAGAGGAAUGGUCACCACCCGAGCGGGUCUCGGGACAGAACCCGGCUUACAGACCGCCCGCACC
RNAcentral lists this RNase P RNA (412 nucleotides) under Geminicoccaceae bacterium. Its description in RNAcentral is "RNase P RNA component class A". It matches the Rfam family "Bacterial RNase P class A". From Rfam's summary of the family: Ribonuclease P (RNase P) is a ubiquitous endoribonuclease, found in archaea, bacteria and eukarya as well as chloroplasts and mitochondria. Lineage: Bacteria; Pseudomonadati; Pseudomonadota; Alphaproteobacteria; Geminicoccales; Geminicoccaceae. The record is from RNAcentral.